AUGACAAUUGACGGGGAUCAAGGGAUUGCCCAUUCUGUGCCUGUAAGAACGGAUUCGUGCCAGAGAAACUCAUCAAGUGGAGGCGGAGAAGAAAGACCGUUCGGGGCUUGUCAAUGCGACCAUUGCUUUGAUGGGAGGCUCCUCAAGGAUCUGCAUCCAUCCUGGCUUUUGCAGUUCUCUGUCAUCACCAGAGAAUUCAAGGGCACAUGUCAUCUGGAAAGAAGACGUUUAGAGAUUUCCUACUCCAUCUUCCUCACAAAUGCCGAGGCCCAGAGAAGUAACCUGUCCAAGGUCACAGAGCUCAUAGCUGAGCUACAACCGGAGUUCAGAUCUCUCAUCCCAUCGCACCCCAAAAAACACCCAGCCUCCCAUGCAUCACCGCUCCCCUCCCAACCUGCCUCUGAGAGGGCUUCUCCGCCCUUCCACAAGGUCAGGCAACCCCAGCUCCGAGGCUUUGUCUGUAUGUUCCUGUUCUCACUGCCCUGCUCUCCUUCCUGCCACAUGAGGCCCAGCCCCAGCCUUCCCAGCCCAGCUCCAUUCUACGGACAGUUCCUGAAUAUCAGUUAA
Molecule: long non-coding RNA, 567 nt
Filed under: Canis lupus familiaris (dog)
Lineage: Eukaryota; Metazoa; Chordata; Mammalia; Carnivora; Canidae
Description: lncRNA (ENSCAFG00030010327.1)
Source: RNAcentral